This 1179-nucleotide long non-coding RNA is filed under the name Phasianus colchicus (ring-necked pheasant). RNAcentral describes it as "lncRNA (ENSPCLG00000014030.1)". Lineage: Eukaryota; Metazoa; Chordata; Aves; Galliformes; Phasianidae. The record is from RNAcentral.
GCUGAUUGCAAUGAACCGUGCAUUUUACCUAGCCUUAAUUGAGUCACUGCAAAGAACAUUUAACUUAGCCUCACAGGAGGGGAUAUUUCAUGUUGUUUUUACAUCAACCUAGAUGAAACCUUCCAACAUUUCUAACAGACUUUGUUGAUAGCUAACAAGACAUGCUUCAAGCCGUCUGUUCUUAGGUCUCCUCUUUUUUUUCUUUUUUUUUUAAAAAAUCUAAUUGAAAGUAUUUAUACAGACUUGAAAUUCUGGACAGGCACAGGAUUUUGCUCAGAAUAAUUGCUGGUGUACAAUAGAGGACUUUUCUAUAGUAUUUUUUUGUGUGUGUUUCUCUCCUCCUCCAGUCUGCAGCCAAAGCAAAUUUCUGCUAAGCUGUGUCAAAAAACCAUAGCAACUAUCUUGUGACAGAUCUGAGUAGGUUCUGUUCUUCAAAGGAUUAAUCUUACAUUGCCAUGAUCCCAUCCAGUGUGAUUCUGAGCAUUUUUUGCUAAAAACUUGCUAAAUAUUUGUGUGAGUUGAGUGUUUCCAUCAUAGCAACCGAUGGGCGAAGCACAGCGCGUUAGUCACAAUGUGUGGCAGUGGGAGGCUUCAGGGAUGCUGGGGUUCUCUCACCAGAUGGGAGGAGUGGGAGCAGGUUGGAGGCAGAGCUGGCAGGGCAGAGGGGAGAGCAGAGCAGGCUCUACAUGUUUUGCACUGCUUUUAAUGAGGCUGCCUGAACUAUGGUAACCCCACGGCACAUUUGUAAGCAAGAGAUAUCAGACGAAUUGGCCCCUUCCAGGGCUGCAUUAUGAGGUAAUCUGCUUUCAUUACAGGAUUUAUUUUAUAGGUGGUAGACCUCAGUGAGAAGACGCUGCAGGCACAAGCAGCACUUAUCUGCUCUGUAAGGCCAAGUUCAGGAUCUGCAUGAAUGUGAAUCUGCUUUCCCACAGUUCAAUCUCCUUUCCUUGCGAGGCUGGAAACACAACCUUUUUGUGCAUGACCCCUUCUUUGCUCCCCUUCUGAUUCAGACUCAUACUGGAAUGAUUGAUAGUCUUUUAUAAAAUACUCCAUAAAGAACUAUUUUACUUCCACAUCAGCAUGAAAGCUUGGGUCCCACAUACAAAACAAGUACAAAAAUAAGCAUCUCACAUCAGAAUGAAAAGCCUCUUCUUCCUUCAGCCUUUCUGAAGUGCACAG